Molecule: long non-coding RNA, 1575 nt
Organism: Esox lucius (northern pike)
Lineage: Eukaryota; Metazoa; Chordata; Actinopteri; Esociformes; Esocidae
Exons: 2
Source: RefSeq, a predicted model, not a curated record
AGUUCAAAUCUUCAACAUUUUUAUAAGACAAUUUACAACAACAACAACACAUGUAUACAUAUGCAAUUUAACUUCACUGCACAGUCCUUAUCCAGAAUGAGAUCUGACAUAAUUUCAGUUGAUGUUUUAGCUGGAGCGUUUUCUUAACAUGCUUUGGGGCCGCGGUUUCAAAUGAGAAGUGAAAAUAGGACUGUGUUUAACAAUCGGUGAAGAACCGUGCUGUUGUUCACCCAAUGUUACACACAGACACUGCGGUCAUGCAUUCUGACAGACACACCGCGACGCGUUCUGCUGGAAGACAAGCCGACGCCGGCGUCAUGACAACAGUUCUUUGGCCACGGGUCUAACUGUCGAGGCGCGCUGGCACGGACGAUAAGGCCCACAGGAUGGCAUCGCUGGGCUUAUCAUGCGCAGCCAAGCCCCCAAGCCCCCCUCCUAUCGCUGGUUCCACCGACACAGGAAAGACUCAGGCGGCUUAUCUCUGUACAGCUGAAGACAUGUGGCAGCUCUGCCUCAUGGGGAUCGGGUCCUGGGAGCAAAUGAGGCCUGUCUGAUGGAGUCCCAAAAACGGUCUGUUUGUCCCUGUAACAUUACACGUUACACGGUGGUGAACAACAGCCCAACGCGUCGCUUUUCAGUGAUUGCCGGCCAGUGUAUGAAAAGCUUUCAGUCAAACACUGUGGCCACCAAGAGCCUCACACAUCAAUGUUCUUUCUUGGCUACAAUGAAGAACAACAGCGUAAUCGUACAUUAUGUUACAACCAGCUGGCCAAUCACAUGGUGCCCUUCAGCUCAGCAGACCGUGGUGGGUGUGGUCAGGACAGGAGGGCGGUGUGGUCAGAAGACGUUCGCACACUCUGCAUCUGUGACUUCGCCAGUAACAUUGUGUGGGAGGCUGUUCUGUCCAGGGCGUGUGUCCUGGUAACUGGGAGGGUGAUAUCUGGUGAAAUGUCUGGCUUGGCUGUGAGUUGUCUGGUGCAUGGUGGGAGAUGGUGUGGUGACAUGGCUGGUGUGACUUUGUUGAAGGGCUGUAGAUCUGGGAAGACCCAGGAGGGCAUGGGCUCUUCAGUUUAUUUAUGGUUUCAAUCUUCGGAUGAACAAAUUGAAACCAUAAAUAAAAAUAUAUUUUUCAUCUUUUGAACAACAAACACGUUUAAAGAUGAAAUGACCUGUCCAGUUGCACCGAGGAGAAGAAUCUCCUUUCACCUCAUGAGAAGGUGUGUCAGCAGACCAAGAAAUUGUUUGGCUCUGCCCACAAGAAAAUCCCUGUGGAGGGUUUCUGGCCGAUGAUCAUUCACAAGUGUUGUACGGAGUCUUCUAGAACAAUUUCAGUUUGGUCAGAAUCAUCAGUCAAAAGCUUUUUCUUCACUAAGUCUCUUGUUGAGCCAUUUUAUUUCAUUUGAACCAUGUCUCUUUAUUUGUGAACUGAUUGUUGAUGAUUGAUUGCUUGUUGUCAUCUGUGGCCGUUGGGCCUAAAGCGCUUCAGUUUUUUGUUUAAAUGAAGAUGGAGUUCACUGUGGAAGGAAAACAAGUGACCGCUGUUAUGUAACUUUUAAUAAAAAUAAGCUAUUCUGA